RNAcentral lists this unclassified non-coding RNA (282 nucleotides) under plant metagenome. Its description in RNAcentral is "partial contains small subunit ribosomal RNA, internal transcribed spacer 1, and 5.8S ribosomal RNA". The record is from RNAcentral.
UUUCCGUAGGUGAACCUGCGGAAGGAUCAUUGUCGAAACCUGCCCAGCAGAACGACCCGCGAACUUGUAUAAACAACCGGGGGCGGGGGGCGUUCUCGCCCCGUGCCCCCGAACGGCGGGGAGACACUCGUGCCUUCUUGCCGAACAACGAACCCCGGCGCGGUCUGCGCCAAGGAACUUCAACUAAAGAGUGCCUCCGGUCGCCUCGGAAACGGCGUGCGUGCCGGGAGCGAAGCUUGUGCAAAACCAUAACGACUCUCGGCAACGGAUAUCUCGGCUCUC